GACGAACGCUGGCGGCGUGCUUAACACAUGCAAGUCGAACGGAAAGGCCCUGCUUUUGUGUGGUGCUCGAGUGGCGAACGGGUGAGUAACCCGUGAGUAACCUGGCCUUUACUUUGGGAUAACCUCAGGAAACUGGGGCUAAUACCUGAUACGAGCUCCUGCUGCAUGGUGGGGGUUGGAACGUUUCGGCGGUUGGGGAUGGACUGGCGGCUUAUCAGCUUGUUGGUUGGGUAGUGGCUUACCCAGGCUUUGACGGGUAGCCGGCCUGAGAGGGUGACCGGGGACAUUGGGACUGAGAGAGGGAGCAGUCUCGUAUGGUAGGCAGCGGUGGGGAAUAUGGCACAAUGGGCGGACGUGUGAGGCGGAAACGCCGCGUUUGGGAUGACGGCUUUCGGGGUAUAAAGGGCAUUAGCCUGAGACGAAGCGGGAGUGACGGUAAUGGGUAAAGAAGCACCGGCUAACUACGUG
This 468-nucleotide ribosomal RNA is filed under the name uncultured bacterium. RNAcentral's name for it is "partial 16S ribosomal RNA". It matches the Rfam family "Bacterial small subunit ribosomal RNA", at positions 28 to 507 of the family's 1533-position model. The record is from RNAcentral.